AUCCAGCUGACGAGUCCCGAAUAGGAAGAAACGCGCGUCAAACUGUAU
Schistosoma mansoni is the source of this 48-nucleotide non-coding RNA. NCBI's taxonomy places the organism in Eukaryota, Metazoa, Platyhelminthes, Trematoda, Strigeidida, Schistosomatidae. The record is from Rfam.